Molecule: ribosomal RNA, 1507 nt
Filed under: Triticum aestivum (bread wheat)
Lineage: Eukaryota; Viridiplantae; Streptophyta; Magnoliopsida; Poales; Poaceae
Description: partial small subunit ribosomal RNA
Source: RNAcentral
CUAUUUUUUGUAACAUUAUUAAGUCACCACGUCCAGAAGCUGAACCUUUAUUUUCUUUUUUAUAGCUACUUUGCCUGUCAUUAGAUUAGGUAUAGGUUCACUUACCUUCACCGGCGGGGUGUUUGUAGCACAGUCGGCAUGUUCACGUGGAUAGAACCGGCUAGGCCCGACGGUAUUGGGUUUUGGGGCUUGGCUCGCGCGCGAGUAGAUAUUUAACGCGAGCCUGUAGUGUCGCUCCGUAGUAUGCGGGUGUGAGUGAUGAACGGAGCAUGACAGCAUAUGUGAUGUCGCGGCUUUUUCGACGGUUCGCCGAGGCAGCAGGUACCUGCACGGCUGGCGGCCUGUUCGGCGGCGACGUGGCGUCGCGUUCCGGACCCUCACCCUCCCGGCCCACCACAGGGGCCACGGCCGCCGCUGCCGCCUGCUCCGCACCCGCGACGACAGCCUGAAGGACCGCAAGGUGUUCACCGUGGGCGCGCACCGCCACACGGCGGACCGCAGCAGGAGGCCGCGCCGCCGCGGGCCCACGCAGGCGAUGACGCUCCCGUGGGGCGGGCGGCUGCCCUGCGGGCGGCUGACCCGCGUGCUCUGCGAGGAGCUCGUGCUGGUCCGGGCGGCGAAGAAGGCGAUGCUCUACUUGCUGUUGUUGUACCCGAAGCCGCGGAAGAAGCGGCGCAAGGCGCAGCAGGGGCGGCGCCGGCCGCCGACGCACGACGCCACCCUCAAGCUCACGCUCGGGCACGCCCCGUGCGGGUUCCUCCGCGAGCUCCGUGCCGACGUCCGGCCCGAGCUGCCGUACCGGCGUGCGCACGUGCUCGUGGAGUACAGGCGCGCGCGCCGGCAGCGGCAGCGGCGUCGGUGGCGCGGCUGCUGGUGGCACUGACGUCCCGACCUCCGGCGGCUACUCGAGUUCGACCUGUCGAGGUAGCGCCGGACUCGAGACUCGGAGAGACUCGUGAGCUGCCUGCUGCAUGCAAACCAACACUAGAGCAGAGCAAGAAAAGAGUGCCAUGAUGCAACAGACUACUAUAAAAGAGAAACAAAACAAGACCCGGAAACAGACGAACGGCAAUACAUACACGCGCAUGCACGGCAAAUGAUGUCAUGCCAACCCGGGGAUAUGUCGACAUGGCCCUUAUUUACAUACUAUAAUGAGCAUCAUUAUAUACGUUUUCACUAGUCACGUACACGUCGGAAAAAGGUAGAAUUAUGAUCAUGAGCGAAUACUUUUUAUAUUAAACACCGUACCUAAAUAACCAGAAACUAAACUAGUGGCGUUUUUAUAAAACAAACAGUAUUUUUUAUUCCAAAUAGUGAGAUACAUCUCUGAUCCCCAAUAGGAGGAAAAACCUUUUUUUUUAGUAAGCAGCAGUUUACCUCAUAAUUAGUAUAAAAACCGUAUAAUAUAUACAAAGUGUUCAAUUUAACUGCUUGAUUUAAGGGUGAAGACCGAAUUGAAGGGUAGGCUUCCUUCAUGAACAAAAGAAACAAUACAGAACUUGUUACG